Equus caballus (horse) is the source of this 2754-nucleotide long non-coding RNA. The record is from Ensembl. Lineage: Eukaryota; Metazoa; Chordata; Mammalia; Perissodactyla; Equidae.
GUUCCACUGUAGUCAGAGAAGAUACUUUGUACAUUCCAAUCUUUUUAAAUUUAUUGACUCCUGCUUGCGGCCUUAUAUAUGGUCUAACCUGGCAAAUGCUCCAUGUGCACAAGACAAAAAUGUGAAUUUUGCUCUUGUUGCGUGAAGUGUUCUAUACAAGUGACUCUAGUUGGUUUACGGUAUUGCUCAGGCCCUCUAUUUCCUUCAUGAUCUUCUUUCUGGCUGUUCUAUUCAUUAUUGAAAGUAGAGUAGUGAAUUCUUCAGGUAUUAUUAUAGAACUGUCUAUUUCCCCCUUCACCUUCAAUUCUAUGAAUAUUUGCUUCAUCUAUGUUGGGGCAUCAUGGUUCGGUGCAUAUAUGUUUAUAAUUAUUAUAUUCUCUUGAUGAAUUGACCCUUUUAUCAAUACAUAAUGUCCUUUUUUGUCUCUUGUAACAAUUUUGACCUAAAGUCUAUUUCGUCUGAUAGUAAUACAGUUUCCCUAGCUGUCUUUGGUUGCUACUUGCAUGGAAUAUCUUUUUCUAUUCUUUCAUUUUUGACAUAUUUGAUUCUUCACACCUAAAGGGAUUCUCUUGUAGACAGCCCUCAGUUGUAUUGCAGACGUUUUUAAAUCUAUUUUGCCAUUCUAUGUCUUUUUUUUUUGUCUCUUUAAAGAUUUUAUUUUUCCUUUUUCUUCCCAAACCCCCCGGUACAUAGUUGUGUAUUUUUAGUUGUGGGUCCUUCUAGUUGUGGCAUGUGGGACGUUGUCUCAGCAUGGCCUGAUGAGCAGUGCCAUGUCCAUGCCCAGGAUUCGAACCAGUGAAACCCGAGCCUGCUGAAGUGGAGUGCACAAACUUAACCACUUGGCCACGGGGCCAGCCCCCAUUCUCUGCCUUCUAAUUGGAGAGUUUAACUCAUUUACAUUUAAGUAAUUAGUGAUUAUGAAGGACUUAUUUCUUCUAUUUUGCUAUUUGUUUUCUAUAUGUCAUAUAUAAUUUGUUCUUCAUUUCCUCCAUCACUGCUCACUUUUGUGUUUAAUUGAUUUUUUGGAGUGUAUCAUUUUGAUUCUCUUCUCACUUCCUGUUCUGUGUAUUUUUACAUUAUUUUCAUAGUGGGUUUCCUAGAACUACAAUAAACAUCUUAAACAUAACAAUCUACUGUGAAUUAAUGCAAACUUAACUUCAAUAGGAUAUAAAAACUUUGAUCCUAUAUGACUCCAUCCUUUCCCUUUUAUCUUAUUAUCAUCAAACUUACAUCUUUAUACAUUGUAUGCUUAUUAACAUAGAAUUAUAAUUAUUUCAUGCAUAUUCUUUUAAAUCUUAUAGGAAUAUAAAGAGGAGUCACAAACCGGAAAUGCAAUAAUACUGGCUUUUAUAUUUACCUAUGUGGUUACAUUUACUAGUGUUCUUUAUUUCUUCUUAUGGCUCUGAGAUACCACCUAGUAUACUUUAAUUUCAGCGUAAAAGAAGGCCUUGCUUUGGCAUUUCUUGUUGGCAAGAUCUACUGAAAACAAACUCUCAGCUUUUGCUUAUCUGAGAAUGUCUUAACUUUUCCUUCAUUUUUGAAGGACUGUUAUGCCAGAUCUAGAAUUCUUGGUUGACAUUUUUUUUCUUUCAGCACUUUAAAUACAUCAUCCCACUGCUUUCUGACCUUCUUGGUUUCUAAUGAGAAAUCGGCUCUUAGUCUUACUGAGGAUCUCUGUACAUGACAAAUCACUUCUCUCUCGGUCCUUUCAAGAUUCUCUGUCUGUCUUGGUAUGUGGAGCUCUUUGUGUUUAUUUUACUUGGAGUUUGACAAGCUUCUUAGACAUUUAGAUUGAUGUCUUCCACUAAAUUUGGGAAGUUUUCGGCCAUUAUUUCAUGAUGUAUUCUUUCUGCCUUUUCGCUCUCUCCUCUCCUGCUGGGAUUCUCAUUAUGUGUGUAUUGGUGUGCUUGAUGGUGUCCCACAGUUCUCUUAGUUUCUGUUUUCUUCAUUGAUUUUUCUUUCAGGUUUUCCAACUGGAUAACUGUAAUUGACUUAUCUUCAUGUUCACUAUUUUUCUUCUACUUGCUCAAAUAUGUUUUGGAAGCCCUUUAGUAAUUUUUUUUCCCUUACUGUAUCUUUCAGCUCAACAAUUUCUAUUUAGUUCUUUUUUAUGAUAUCUAUCUCUUUGGUUUUUUCCCCAAGAAUAAUGUUUUAUUUUUUCCAGCUUUAUUAAGAUAUAAUUGACAUAAAACAUUGUGUAAGUUAAAGGUGUACAACAUGAUGAUUUGAUAUACACAUAUUGUGAAAUGUUACCACAAUAAGGUUAGUUAAUACAUUCUUUACCUCACAUAAUUAUCAUUUUGUUGUUGUUAUUGUUAUGGUAUAGCUCUUUAUUGAUAUUCUCUGUUUGGUGAGAUUAUUCAUCUAGUUUCCUUUAGUUCUUUGGCCAUUGUUUCCUUUAGCUCUCGGAACAUAUUUUAAAUAGCUGAUGUAAAGUCUUUUUCUAGUAAGUCCAAUCUCUGGGCUUCCUGAGGUAUAGUUUCUCUUUUUUUCCCCCGUGAAUGGCCGUAUUUUCUUAUUUCCUUAUGUCCCUCAUAAUUUUUGUUGAAAACGACAUUUUCAACAUCAGAAUGUGUUAACUCUGAAAAUCAAAUUCUCCUCCUUUCCCAAGGUUUGUUCUUGCUGCAUGUUGUAGGUUGUAGUUUUUGCUUAGUGCAUUUUCUAAACUGUCUUUGUAAAGACUGUAUUCUUUUUCAUGUCUCAACACUGAAGUUUCUGUUUCACUAGUUUAGUGGUCAUCUAAUGAUUUGAGAC